GGAUUAGAUACCCUGGUAGUCCACGCCGUAAACUAUCAUUACUCGAUUUAUAUACUUUUGUAUGUGAGUCCAAGCGAAAGCGUCAAGUAAUCCGCCUGGGGACUACGAUCGCAAGAUUGAAACUCAAAGGAAUUGACGGGGACCCGCACAAGCGGUGGAACAUGUGGUUUAAUUCGAUGAUACGCGAAGAACCUUACCUGGGUUUGACAUGUUAGUGAAAGUUUUCUGAAAAGAAUUCCCUUUAAGAGCUUGCUCUUAAACACUAUCACAGGUGGUGCAUGGCUGUCGUCAGCUCGUGCCG
RNAcentral lists this ribosomal RNA (301 nucleotides) under uncultured bacterium. Its description in RNAcentral is "bacterial SSU rRNA". It matches the Rfam family "Bacterial small subunit ribosomal RNA", at positions 775 to 1067 of the family's 1533-position model. The record is from RNAcentral.